GGGGGGAACCCUGAUCCAGCCAUGCCGCGUGUGUGAAGAAGGCCUUUUGGUUGUAAAGCACUUUAAGCGAGGAGGAGGCUACUGGUAUUAAUACUACCGGAUAGUGGACGUUACUCGCAGAAUAAGCACCGGCUAACUCUGUGCCAGCAGCCGCGGUAAUACAGAGGGUGCGAGCGUUAAUCGGAUUUACUGGGCGUAAAGCGUGCGUAGGCGGCUUUUUAAGUCGGACGUGAAAUCCCUGAGCUUAACUUAGGAAUUGCAUUCGAUACUGGGAGGCUAGAGUAUGGGAGAGGAUGGUAGAAUUCCAGGUGUAGCGGUGAAAUGCGUAGAGAUCUGGAGGAAUACCGAUGGCGAAGGCAGCCAUCUGGCCUAAUACUGACGCUGAGGUACGAAAGCAUGGGGAGCAAACAGGAUUAGAUACCCUGGUAGUCCAUGCCGUAAACGAUGUCUACUAGCCGUUGGGGCCUUUGAGGCUUUAGUGGCGCAGCUAACGCGAUAAGUAGACCGCCUGGGGAGU
RNAcentral lists this ribosomal RNA (517 nucleotides) under uncultured bacterium. RNAcentral describes it as "bacterial SSU rRNA". It matches the Rfam family "Bacterial small subunit ribosomal RNA", at positions 373 to 881 of the family's 1533-position model. The record is from RNAcentral.